This 253-nucleotide ribosomal RNA is filed under the name uncultured bacterium. RNAcentral describes it as "partial 16S ribosomal RNA". It matches the Rfam family "Bacterial small subunit ribosomal RNA", at positions 524 to 776 of the family's 1533-position model. The record is from RNAcentral.
UACGUAGGGUGCGAGCGUUGUCCGGAUUUAUUGGGCGUAAAGAGCUCGUAGGCGGUUUGUCGCGUCGGCCGUGAAAUCUCCACGCUUAACGUGGAGCGUGCGGUCGAUACGGGCAGACUUGAGUUCGGUAGGGGAGACUGGAAUUCCUGGUGUAGCGGUGAAAUGCGCAGAUAUCAGGAGGAACACCGGUGGCGAAGGCAGGUCUCUGGGCCGAUACUGACGCUGAGGAGCGAAAGCUAGGGGAGCGAAUGGG